UACGGAGGGAGCAAGCGUUACUCGGAAUUAUUGGGCGUAAAGGGCGCGUAGGCGAUUUGAAAAGUCUUGUGUGAAAGCCCCGAGCUUAACUCGGGAAGUGCACAAGAAACUGUUGAAUUUGAGUUCCGGAGAGGAAGGCAGAAUUCCCGGUGUAGCGGUGAAAUGCGUAGAUAUCGGGAGGAAUACCAGUGGCGAAGGCGGGUCUCUGGGCCGAUACUGACGCUGAGGAGCGAAAGCGUGGGGAGCGAACAGG
RNAcentral lists this ribosomal RNA (253 nucleotides) under uncultured bacterium. Its description in RNAcentral is "partial 16S ribosomal RNA". It matches the Rfam family "Bacterial small subunit ribosomal RNA", at positions 524 to 776 of the family's 1533-position model. The record is from RNAcentral.